Molecule: ribosomal RNA, 476 nt
Filed under: uncultured bacterium
Lineage: Bacteria
Description: partial 16S ribosomal RNA
Rfam family: Bacterial small subunit ribosomal RNA
Source: RNAcentral
GAUGAACGCUGGCGGCGUGCCUAACACAUGCAAGUCGAACGAAGCACCUUACCUGAUUCUUCGGAUGAAAGUUUGGUGACUGAGUGGCGGACGGGUGAGUAACGCGUGGGUAACCUGCCCUGCACAGGGGGAUAACAGCUGGAAACGGCUGCUAAUACCGCAUAAGCGCACGAGGAGACAUCUCCUUGUGUGAAAAACUCCGGUGGUACAGGAUGGGCCCGCGUCUGAUUAGCUGGUUGGCAGGGUAACGGCCUACCAAGGCAACGAUCAGUAGCCGGUCUGAGAGGAUGAACGGCCACAUUGGAACUGAGACACGGUCCAAACUCCUACGGGAGGCAGCAGUGGGGAAUAUUGCACAAUGGGGGAAACCCUGAUGCAGCAACGCCGCGUGAGUGAAGAAGUAUUUCGGUAUGUAAAGCUCUAUCAGCAGGGAAGAUAAUGACGGUACCUGACUAAGAAGCACCGGCGAAAUACGU